Cebus imitator (Panamanian white-faced capuchin) is the source of this 419-nucleotide long non-coding RNA. RefSeq lists it as uncharacterized. The transcript has 2 exons. The record is from RefSeq and is a predicted model, not a curated record. Lineage: Eukaryota; Metazoa; Chordata; Mammalia; Primates; Cebidae.
UCCAGAGGGGUUAGCACAAUACCUGGUAUACAGUAGCUUCGCAAUACAUACUGGGUGGAUGAUUGACAGUUUCAACAUGAUUCUGUACAGAACUGAAUUGCCUGUCUCCAGGACCAGAUGUGAGAACAAAGAAGCCAUAAAAUGUGCUAGACGUAGCGUCAUGUAGAGCAAAAACCAGCCCAUGUCCCUGAUGUAUGGACAGUGUUAAGCAUGUCUUCUUAAUCAUCAACAUGACCUAGAAUAAAGACAUAUGUGAAUUCCCCCCACUCCAGUCCUGGCGCGGAAGCCGUGUGUACCAUGCUCUUCAUAGCCCCAGUCAACUGAAAGAGCAUGGCCAGGCUGCCUUCCCUGUCUACGUUGUGAGAAGGCACAAAAGGAUGGAUGUGAGAGUGGUCUCAAGAGUACAAGUGCUAUAUGUC